UCUAGUGAUGAACAAAUUUUAUUCACACUGUAAGAGACCUCGGUCGCUGAAUUUAACAAAAAAUUACUGAUUUAAUGAAUCUGAUA
Small nucleolar RNA from Pichia membranifaciens NRRL Y-2026, 86 nucleotides. NCBI's taxonomy places the organism in Eukaryota, Fungi, Ascomycota, Pichiomycetes, Pichiales, Pichiaceae. The record is from Rfam.